UACAGAGGGGGCGAGCGUUGUUCGGAAUUACUGGGCGUAAAGGGCGCGUAGGCGGCCAACUAAGUCAGACGUGAAAUCCCUCGGCUCAACCGGGGAACUGCGUCUGAUACUGGACGGCUUGAGUAUGGGAGAGGGAUGUAGAAUUCCAGGUGUAGCGGUGAAAUGCGUAGAUAUCUGGAGGAAUACCGGUGGCGAAGGCGG
This 201-nucleotide ribosomal RNA is filed under the name uncultured prokaryote. RNAcentral describes it as "partial 16S ribosomal RNA". It matches the Rfam family "Bacterial small subunit ribosomal RNA", at positions 524 to 724 of the family's 1533-position model. The record is from RNAcentral.